Molecule: ribosomal RNA, 503 nt
Filed under: uncultured bacterium
Lineage: Bacteria
Description: partial 16S ribosomal RNA
Rfam family: Bacterial small subunit ribosomal RNA
Source: RNAcentral
GAUGAACGCUAGCGACAGGCUUAACACAUGCAAGUCGAGGGGUAGCAGGGGGUAGCAAUACUUUGCUGACGACCGGCGCACGGGUGAGUAACGCGUAUGCAACUUACCUAUCAGAGGGGGAUAACCCGGCGAAAGUCGGACUAAUACCGCAUAAAACAGGGGUCCCGCAUGGGAAUAUUUGUUAAAGAUUUAUUGCUGAUAGAUAGGCAUGCGUUCCAUUAGGCAGUUGGCGGGGUAACGGCCCACCAAACCGACGAUGGAUAGGGGUUCUGGGAGGAAGGUCCCCCACAUUGGUACUGAGACACGGACCAAACUCCUACGGGAGGCGGCAGUGAGGAAUAUUGGUCAAUGGGCGCGAGCCUGAACCAGCCAAGUCGCGUGAAGGAUGAAGGUUCUAUGGAUUGUAAACUUCUUUUAUUGGGGAAUAAAGUGCAGGACGUGUCCUGUUUUGUAUGUACCCAACGAAUAAGCAUCGGCUAACUCUGUGCCAGCAGCCGCCGUAA